UGGCUCAGGAUGAACGCUAGCGGCAGGCUUAACACAUGCAAGUCGAGGGGCAGCGGGGAGGAAGCUUGCUUUCUCCGCCGGCGACCGGCGCACGGGUGAGUAACACGUAUGCAACCUGCCCCUGUCAGGGGGACAACCCGCCGAAAGACGGGCUAAACCCGCGUACAUGCCACCGGGGCAUCCCGGAGGCAGGAAAGGCUUCGGCCGGACAGGGAUGGGCAUGCGGCGCAUUAGGCAGUAGGCGGGGUAACGGCCCACCUAACCGACGAUGCGUAGGGGUUCUGAGAGGAAGGUCCCCCACACUGGUACUGAGACACGGACCAGACUCCUACGGGAGGCAGCAGUGAGGAAUAUUGGUCAAUGGUCGGGAGACUGAACCAGCCAAGCCGCGUGAGGGAUGAAGGUACAGAGUAUCGUAAACCUCUUUUGUCAGGGAACAAAGGCGGGGACGUGUCCCCGGAUGAGUGUACCUGAAGAAAAAGCAUCGGCUAACUCCGUGCCAGCAGCCGCGGUAAUACGGAGGAUGCGAGCGUUAUCCGGAUUUAUUGGGUUUAAAGGGUGCGCAGGCGGUCUGUUAAGUCAGCGGUCAAAGCCCGGGGCUCAACCCCGGCCCGCCGUUGAAACUGGCAGUCUCGAGUUGGAGAGAAGUAUGCGGAAUGCGCGGUGUAGCGGUGAAAUGCAUAGAUAUCGCGCAGAACUCCGAUUGCGAAGGCAGCAUGCCGGCUCCACACUGACGCUGAGGCACGAAAGCGUGGGUAUCGAACAGGAUUAGAUACCCUGGUAGUCCACGCAGUAAACGAUGAAUGCUGGCUGUCCGGGGGGACUGACCCCUGGGUGGCGAAGCGAAAGCGAUAAGCAUUCCACCUGGGGAGUACGCCGGCAACGGUGAAACUCAAAGGAAUUGACGGGGGCCCGCACAAGCGGAGGAACAUGUGGUUUAAUUCGAUGAUACGCGAGGAACCUUACCCGGGCUCAAACGGGGAGUGACUCAGGCAGAGACGCCUGUUUCCCACGGGACACUCCCCGAGGUGCUGCAUGGUUGUCGUCAGCUCGUGCCGUGAGGUGUCGGCUUAAGUGCCAUAACGAGCGCAACCCCCGCGUGCAGUUGCUAACAGUCAACGCUGAGGACUCUGCACGGACUGCCGGCGCAAGCCGCGAGGAAGGCGGGGAUGACGUCAAAUCAGCACGGCCCUUACGUCCGGGGCGACACACGUGUUACAAUGGGUGGUACAGCGGGAAGCCAGGCGGCGACGCCGAGCGGAACCCGAAAUCCACUCUCAGUUCGGAUCGGAGUCUGCAACCCGACUCCGUGAAGCUGGAUUCGCUAGUAAUCGCGCAUCAGCCAUGGCGCGGUGAAUACGUUCCCGGGUCUUGUACACACCGCCCGUCAAGCCAUGGGAGCCGAGGGCGCUUGAAGUGCGUCGCCGCGAGGCGCGCCCUAGAGCGAAAUCGGUGACUGGGGCUAAGUCGUAACAAGGUAACCG
Molecule: ribosomal RNA, 1484 nt
Filed under: uncultured bacterium
Lineage: Bacteria
Description: 16S ribosomal RNA
Rfam family: Bacterial small subunit ribosomal RNA
Source: RNAcentral